AAAACCAUCAGAAUAGUGUAGUAAAAAGUUUCUCUUUCUCCAAUCUCCAAUUGUUCAUUUUCUAUUUUUCAGCUUCUGUAAUUGGUAUGAUGUGAUAUUUCCAGCGUUUAUAAGCUUAUAUCUGUAUUUUAAAGACACACAAACUAUACACAAAUUAUUCCAUUUUCACAUACUACUGCUGAGUCCUAGAGAUCAUUCAGCAAUAGUGUUCACGGAAGAGCCACAUUUACUGGUUGGGUAGUAUUCCAUUUUGAUGGACUUGGAUUUAUUUUUAGUCCUUUUUCUAAAAAUUACUGCAAGCUUUUAUUCUAAAUGUACCAGGUAUUAUAUGUAUAAAUGAUUUUCAUGGUUUGAAAAAAUUCUGAUAAUUAUUUUUGUAUUGAACCUAUAAAAAGAAGUGUAUCUGAAGUAAACUUCUCAUGGACUCUCUUGAGCUACAACUCAAGACUACUUUUAAUGGUAAUUAUAUUUAUCAGAUCAAUUAUUAAAGGAUUUGAAGUGAGGGACCAAAAUGUUCAGAUGAGCAUUUUUAAAAGUCACUUUAGAGCAGAUUAAAAGUAGAAUAAAGUUAAAGCCAGAAAUAUAUUAGAAGGGUGAUACCAUAGUUCUGAAUUUGGAUAUUGGUAGUUGACAAGUCUUGGUGAUUUGAUGGAAAAGCAUACAGAGAGGACAAAAUUGGAGAUAUUGUUCCAAUCUUUCCCCUUAUGUGAGGAUCCAUAUGAUGAAGAUUUUAAUUUUUAGUUGUGACAUGUUAAAUAAAUGGCUGUUACGGGCUGGAGAGAUGGUUCAGUGGGUAAGAGCACUGACUGCUCUUCCAAAGGUCCUGAGUUCGGUUCCCAGCAACCAUAUGGUGGCUCACAACCAUCUGUAAUGACAUCCAAUGCUCUCUUCUGUUAUGUCUGAAGACAGCUACACUGUACUCAUAUAAAUAAAAUAAAUCUUUAAAAAAAUAAAUAAAUGGCUGUUAUGUAGUGAAUUUGUGUCAGAAAUUCAUAACAUCAGGUUCUGUGCCAGUAGUAAAUUUUGGAGGCAAAGAUGUAUAGUUACAAGGAAGAGAUUUCAGGCAGAAACUCAAUAUUUAGAGCAUAUAAAUACCUAGAUUAAGUUCUUUUAAGAAAUUAUUAGUAGUGAAAAACUACAAUCUAAUGUGUUGUUUUUACCACUAGUAUUACUGUUUUAAAGAUUUAUUUUUGUUUGUUAGAGUAUCUGUGUGUGCCUGUGUGUAUUUGAGUGCAUUGUUUGAGGAGACCAGAAGAGCAUGUCCAAAUUCCCUGAGCUGGAGUUAGAGGCAGUUGGAGCAACUGGACUAGGUUCUGGUAACCUCAGUAGGGUCCUCUACAAGCGCAGGUUGAGAUCUUAACCUCUCAACAAUCUCUCCAGCCCCACUAGUAUUACUUUUUGUAAAAGGGUCUCGUGCCCUUCAGGCUGACCUCAAAACUCACUAUGUAGCCUAGGCUGGCCCUGAACUUCUUAACUUUAUCUCUGGAAUGCUAGGAUUGUAUGAAUGUGCUACCAUGUUUCUUUCAUGGAGCGCUAGAAAUUGAAUCCAUGACUUUGUGUGUGCUAGGCAGACACUUUAUCAAUCGAGCUAUGUCUUGAGUCUGAUUAUUUUUAGAGAUAGUGUUUUCUCAUUUAGCCUAGUUGUCCUAGAAUUCUCAAUUUAGCUUCAUCUGAUCUCAAAUUCUUGAGCAUAUUAUUAUAUUAUAGGUGCUACAACAGAGGGCUAAACAAUUUUUUUCUUUAGUUAAUUUAGUGAUAUAUAGUUUUUGAGGAGAUGGUAUAAAUUCAUUGUUUUUUGUUUUUUUUCUUUUUAAAUUCGAUGAUGAUCUUGAUGCAUUGUACAUGUCUAUUGGUGUUCUUGCUUCAGAUACCUAAUUUAGGUAGCUGGAACUGCAAAUGUGUAUCAUGUUCAGCUAAAUUUACAUGUUUUAAAAGAAAUAUAGCUAUAGUAGAAAUUAGUAAUAUAAGCCUCCAUCUUUUAAAAUCAUUUGUAAUUAUAUAGAUGCUUGUUCAAUCUUUAUUAUUUUCAAAGAAGUGCAGAAAGGUUGAGAAUAAGAUUGACCAAGAAUUUUAAUAUUUUUUGCUGGACAUGGUGGCACACACCUUUAAUCCCAGCACUCGGGAGGCAGAGGCAGGUGGAUUUCUGGGUUCGAGGCCAGCCUGGUCUACAGAGUGAGUUCCAGGACAGCCAGAGCUAUACAGAGAAGCCCUGUCUCGAAAACAAAACAAAAAAAAGAAUUUUAAUAUUUUUUAAAUUUAAAUGAUUGAAUUUCUUAGGUAUAUAACAGUUUAAAGAAAACAGUCAGACUUUUCAGAUAUUUUAAAAAUAUAUCAACUUGAGUCAAGUAUGUUAUUAUAGACCUGUAAGGCCAAACUGGCUAUAUAGAAAGACUGUCUC
RNAcentral lists this long non-coding RNA (2398 nucleotides) under Mus musculus (house mouse). RNAcentral's name for it is "long non-coding RNA chr9:59752784-59755182". The record is from RNAcentral. Lineage: Eukaryota; Metazoa; Chordata; Mammalia; Rodentia; Muridae.